This 234-nucleotide unclassified non-coding RNA is filed under the name plant metagenome. Its description in RNAcentral is "partial contains small subunit ribosomal RNA, internal transcribed spacer 1, and 5.8S ribosomal RNA". The record is from RNAcentral.
UUUCCGUAGGUGAACCUGCGGAAGGAUCAUUACUGAGUGAGGGCCCUCUGGGUCCAACCUCCCACCCGUGUUUAUUGUACCUUGUUGCUUCGGUGCGCCCGCCUCACGACCGCCGGGGGGCUUCUGCCCCCGGGUCCGCGCGCACCGGAGACACCAUUGAACUCUGUCUGAAGAUUGCAGUCUGAGCAUAAACUAAAUAAGUUAAAACUUUCAACAACGGAUCUCUUGGUUCCG